AAGAACCCUGGGUCUGUGACCAGGACUCCUGCUCUUCUGCUGGGUGACAGGAAGUGGUGUCAAGGACUCCUCUUUUCUGCCUGCAGCCGCUGGCACUCUGACUGUGGUAGAAGACGGUCUAGAAGACUUUACACACAGGUAUUGGGUGACCAGAGCCUUGGGACCCAAAGACCCUCCCCUAAAAUCCUCCUCGGAUAGCGAAGACAAAAUUGGUUGCACAAAGCUUGCUCGAUCUCAUAUCCAGAAGCCGUCCUCCUUCUACCCAGAUGAACUGACCACGUCUGCCUGACUCCGUGUUCCCGGUUUCCACCGUGGCCUCAUUUCUGAAAAUGACACCAUCAGCUGGGGUCUAGAAAACUACUGCGGAAGGGUGCCUCCCCCUACCCCACCGGAUUAAAUACACAGUGACUCUGCAGAUCACACCUCUCAAAUACAGUGCUUCCCUGUU
Molecule: long non-coding RNA, 448 nt
Organism: Fukomys damarensis (Damara mole-rat)
Lineage: Eukaryota; Metazoa; Chordata; Mammalia; Rodentia; Bathyergidae
Exons: 3
Source: RefSeq, a predicted model, not a curated record